RNAcentral lists this transfer RNA (90 nucleotides) under Candidatus Uhrbacteria bacterium RIFCSPHIGHO2_02_FULL_60_44. RNAcentral's name for it is "tRNA-Ser". It matches the Rfam family "tRNA". From Rfam's summary of the family: Transfer RNA (tRNA) molecules are approximately 80 nucleotides in length. Their secondary structure includes four short double-helical elements and three loops (D, anti-codon, and T loops). Lineage: Bacteria; Candidatus Uhriibacteriota. RNAcentral also lists the same sequence under 1 other name. The record is from RNAcentral.
GGAGAGGUGGCUGAGCGGUCUAAAGCAACGGACUUGAAAUCCGUCGUACCAGAAAUGGUACCGUGAGUUCGAAUCUCACCCUCUCCGCCA